This 1072-nucleotide long non-coding RNA is filed under the name Diabrotica virgifera virgifera (western corn rootworm). Its description in RNAcentral is "uncharacterized LOC126892182". The record is from RNAcentral. Lineage: Eukaryota; Metazoa; Arthropoda; Insecta; Coleoptera; Chrysomelidae.
CUCUCAAAUGGUAUUUCAAAUGACUUGACGUAAUAAACUGCUUAAAACAAAUUUUACACUUGUGAGGUUUUUCUCCAAUGUGCAAUCUCAUAUGUUGUUUUAAAGUAACUGCUAGAUUAAACUGUUUGAAACAAAUUUCACACUUGUGAGGUUUUUCUCCAGUGUGCACUAUCAAAUGUUGUUUUAAAGUGCUUGCUUGACUAAACUGCUUAAAACAAAUUUCACACUUGUGGGGUUUUUCCCCAGUGUGCACUCUUAUAUGUUUUUUUAAAUUACUUGCUAGAUUAAACAGCUUAAAACAAAUUUCACACUUAUGAGGUUUUUCUCCAGUGUGAAAUCUCAAAUGUAAUUUCAAACCACUUGCUUGAAAAAAUUGUGUAAGACAAAUUUCACACUUGUGUGGUUUUUCUCCAGUGUGCACUCUCAAAUGGUAUUUCAAAUCACUUGACGUAAUAAACUGCUUAAAACAAAUUUCACACUUGUGAGGUUUUUCUCCAGUGUGCAAUCUCAUAUGUUGUUUUAAAGUGCCUGCUUGAUUAAACUGUUUGAAACAAAUUUCACACUUGUGAGGUUUUUCUCCAGUGUGCAAUCUCAUAUGUUGUUUUAAAGUGCCUGCUUGAUUAAACUGUUUGAAACAAAUUUCACACUUGUGAGGUUUUUCUCCAGUGUGCACUAUCAAAUGUUGUUUUAAAGUGCUUGCUUGACUAAACUGCUUAAAACAAAUUUCACACUUGUGGGGUUUUUCCCCAGUGUGCACUCUUAUAUGUUUUUUUAAAUUACUUGCUAGAUUAAACAGCUUAAAACAAAUUUCACACUUAUGAGGUUUUUCUCCAGUGUGAAAUCUCAAAUGUAAUUUCAAACCACUUGCUUGAAAAAAUUGUGUAAGACAAAUUUCACACUUGUGUGGUUUUUCUCCAGUGUGCACUCUCAAAUGGUAUUUCAAAUCACUUGACGUAAUAAACUGCUUAAAACAAAUUUCACACUUGUGAGGUUUUUCUCCAGUGUGCAAUCUCAUAUGUUGUUUUAAAGUGCCUGCUUGAUUAAACUGUUUGAAACAAAUUUCACACUUGUG